AAAUGAUUCAACAGUAAUUGAACUUUGCAUUAUGUAUGUUUCACUUACUAUACUUUAAUUUGCAUCCCAUCAUUCACUGAACUUUACAAAAUUGCACUCCAUCACUAACCCACUAACUUUUGUCUUCACAGUCCGCCUACGUGGAAGACGACAGUCAUAUGUGGCCAUUAAAUAAUCCAAACUGGAGAAGGAAUUGUUAGGUCAAAUGAACCAAGCACCCCUUACCUUAUUUCAUCACGGAAAUUGCGAUUUGGGAACCCUAAUUUAUCAUAAACGCUCGAUUUAUCUUGGCAUCGAAGUGAAAUUCCUCAAACAUCUCCGUCAAAAGCGUGAACCCUACUCCCCAAAAUCAUAAUUAUUCCAAAAUUGAAUACGAGUCAAGGGCAAUUGUUGAUUGGCUCGGAGAGAACACCCAAAGGUAAUUGAGAAAAAUUUUCCCUUUUCAUAAUUUAAUAUCAUUGAAUUUGUAGUGCGAACUAGUUUUGUGAUCGAGUUGAGUUGUUAAUGGAAUCAAAUAACAUAAUGAAAUGCGAACAACGUUAUUAUCCAUGGCUCUGGUUUUCCAUUUCAUUUGUUUUUAUCUCUUAAGCUUUGUUCUUUGAUUUUUGGAGUUCACUAGUGCAGUUCUUCGAUGUGGGUAUGCCCAAAAAAGCUUAUUUCUUUGUCCAUGGCUCCUGUUUUCCAUUUCGUUAGUCCUUUGUGUUUUUACAUCAUAGGGCAACUCUGUAGAUAGCUCCGGUUUAGUUUUUACCACGUCAUAAGUAAUUAAUUGAUGCAUUGCAUUUUAUUUUUCGUAGGAAAAAACAAGGGGAUUUGCCACUGUUACAGAGAACCAAGCCACCAAUUAUGGGUAUGCCUAAAAAAACAGCAAUGUCCAAAUUGUGCCGGAGCAAUCAUAAAAUGGAUGUCAAAGAAGAACGAAAGGGCUUUUCAAUUGAAGAUUUGUCCAGUUUGUUAAAGAUUGCCGCUGAAAUUAUCGAACAACAAGAUGUCACCAUUAAACUAAGCUUCCACAAGGGUAAAGGAGACACGGAAGUCAGAAGGAAACGAAGGCCAAGAGAGUCGUGAACAUAUUCCAUAUAUGAAGGCGACGAGACGAGAAGAACUAACUUUUAAUUUCAUAUUUUUUUAAUAACUAGACUAUUCAUGCUUCCAAUUUCAUGUUUAUUGUUUUCGUUUAAGUGGAAACUAUGCUGUACUUGAUAUUUGAUUUCGUGAAGUUGUGAUUUCUAAAGAACAAUCUCCGUUUGCCUAUGUUUGAUUUGAACUAGUUGUGUAUCAAAACUUUUCUAAUGACCUUCUUCUAAUGAUUUAAACAAUCUCCAUUUGCCUCCAUUGUGAUGUUCAUGUUGCCUUCAAUCCCAGCAGC
This 1369-nucleotide long non-coding RNA is filed under the name Olea europaea subsp. europaea. Lineage: Eukaryota; Viridiplantae; Streptophyta; Magnoliopsida; Lamiales; Oleaceae. The record is from RNAcentral.